CCUACGGGAGGCAGCAGUAGGGAAUCUUCCACAAUGGGCGAAAGCCUGAUGGAGCAACGCCGCGUGGGUGAAGAAGGUCUUCUGAUCGUAAAACCCUGUUGUUAGAGAAGAAAGUGCGUGAGAGUAACUGUUCACGUUUCGACGGUAUCUAACCAGAAAGCCACGGCUAACUACGUGCCAGCAGCCGCGGUAAUACGUAGGUGGCAAGCGUUAUCCGGAUUUAUUGGGCGUAAAGGGAACGCAGGCGGUCUUUUAAGUCUGAUGUGAAAGCCUUCGGCUUAACCGGAGUAGUGCAUUGGAAACUGGGAGACUUGAGUGCAGAAGAGGAGAGUGGAACUCCAUGUGUAGCGGGGAAAUGCGUAGAUAUAUGGAAGAACACCAGUGGCGAAAGCGGCUCUCUGGGCUGUAACUGACGCUGAGGUUCGAAAGCGUGGGUAGCAAACAGGAUUAGAUACCCGAGUAGUC
RNAcentral lists this ribosomal RNA (465 nucleotides) under uncultured bacterium. RNAcentral describes it as "partial 16S ribosomal RNA". It matches the Rfam family "Bacterial small subunit ribosomal RNA", at positions 338 to 795 of the family's 1533-position model. The record is from RNAcentral.